UACGGAGGAUGCGAGCGUUAUCCGGAUUUAUUGGGUUUAAAGGGUGCGCAGGCGGAAGAUUAAGUCGGUGGUGAAAUUUUGCAGCUCAACUGUAAAAGUGCCAUUGAUACUGGUUUUCUUGAGUGCGGAUGAAGUAGGCGGAAUUUGUGGUGUAGCGGUGAAAUGCAUAGAUAUCACGAGGAACUCCGAUUGCGCAGGCAGCUUACUAAACCACUACUGACGCUCAUGCACGAAGGCGUGGGGAUCAAACAGGAUUA
Molecule: ribosomal RNA, 257 nt
Filed under: uncultured prokaryote
Description: partial 16S ribosomal RNA
Rfam family: Bacterial small subunit ribosomal RNA
Source: RNAcentral